GCCAGCCCGCUCAGAAACUUAAGGAAUUGACGGGGCCCGCACAAGCGGUGGAGCAUGUGGUUUAAUUCGAUGCAACGCGAAGAACCUUACCUGGUCUUGACAUCCCGGAGACCCUUAGGAAACUAGGGGGUGCUUCCAUCUGGAAGAAUCUGGAGACAGGUGCUGCAUGGCUGUCGUCAGCUCGUGUCGUGAGAUGUUGGGUUAAGUCCCGCAACGAGCGCAACCCUUGCCUUUAGUUGCCAGCAGUUCGGCUGGGCACUCUAAAGGGACUGCCGGUGUUAAACCGGAGGAAGGUGGGGAUGACGUCAAGUCCUCAUGGCCUUUAUGACCAGGGCUACACACGUACUACAAUGGCCGAUACAAAGGGCAGCGACACUGCGAGGUGAAGCCAAUCCCGUAAAAUCGGUCUCAGUCCGGAUUGGAGUCUGCAACUCGACUCCAUGAAGUUGGAAUCGCUAGUAAUCGUGGAUCAGCAUGCCACGGUGAAUACGUUCCCGGGCCUU
This 503-nucleotide ribosomal RNA is filed under the name uncultured Desulfobulbus sp. Its description in RNAcentral is "bacterial SSU rRNA". It matches the Rfam family "Bacterial small subunit ribosomal RNA", at positions 904 to 1382 of the family's 1533-position model. The record is from RNAcentral. Lineage: Bacteria; Pseudomonadati; Thermodesulfobacteriota; Desulfobulbia; Desulfobulbales; Desulfobulbaceae.